ACCUCUCUGUGGCGCGCGUGACUGCCAAUACUGUGUCUUGAUCGAUAAACUUGUUUUAGGAGUAGAUUGAUUCCAGACCCCGUAUACUGAAGGCUUUUUCCAAAACCUAUCAGGAACUUAAAGGUACUGGAUCGUAAGCUCCACCUGGGUAAACCGGGUCAAACAACUGAGGCGAGACGGCGUUGCGGAGGGGCU
This 195-nucleotide non-coding RNA is filed under the name Oscillatoriales cyanobacterium SM2_2_1. Its description in RNAcentral is "6S RNA". It matches the Rfam family "6S / SsrS RNA". Rfam says of the family: E. coli 6S RNA was the first non coding RNA to be sequenced, but its function was unknown until recently. The record is from RNAcentral. Lineage: Bacteria; Bacillati; Cyanobacteriota; Cyanophyceae; Oscillatoriales.